AGCCCGGGCUCCCGCAGCGCGGAGGCAGGGGCGCCCGCGGCUGUCUGCUCCUCUCACCCGGGCACCUCCCGAGUGGCAGCGACGAGCUCCCUGCAGGCCCAGAGACCCCCGACGGGACGACCUUGGCGGGCGGAUCCCCGCCCCCACCCGGGUCCACGAGCUUGGGUCCGCCCUGCCCACCCCAGCUCUGGCACGGGUCGAGGACAGAGGCGGCGAGCGCGAGGGGGACCCUGCCUCCCUGCUCGUAUAUGGCAAAGUUUCUCGCGGCGCUCCUGGGCUGCACGCUGCCGAGCAAGGGCGCCUCUCCCGUGCUGGAGGGCACCAUCUUUAGCACACUGGCUGGUGAGAAGUCCUCAUCCGACUACAGUAAGGAGCAGCAAUGGAAGCCCGUGUACUGCAGCCUCGCUGCCAUGUGCCUUUCCAACCCUCUCAUUGAGAAGCCAGGAGGCAAAAUACCAACCAAGACCCCAAAUAUAUCUGCCCUGCCCCUGGACAUUUUUAUCCAUCCUUUGAAGACCUUCAUCCUUCCACGUAGCUUUGUGCAGACUGCCACUUCUGAGACCACCCACUUUGCCUGUCUCUCAAUGUCAUGGUCCUAAAGAUCUAUUUCCAACUUGCACCAACAAGACGGGAGAAAAAGAAGAAACCAUGGUUCUCUCAGCAAUACAUUUAGAAAUUAAAAUACAUAAUUCUAUAAUGUUACUUAUAGCACAGUGCAUUAUGUGACAGCAACUAUCCCAAAGCAUAGUUAGUCUAUCUCAACACUGACGAAACAUAAAUCAGGGCAGGGAUCUUAACACCUCCUUUUCUCUGUCUUAAAUAAGUCAAUGGAACCCCCAGUGGCUGAAAGGACCCUGAUUUUCCUGUUACAUAGCAGAUGCCACACAUAGUUCAAUAGAACUCUGAAUUUGCUCACAAGAGUUUUCAAAUUGACAAGGCCUGUCCUAUCAAUGACAUUCCUGUUAGAUUAUGGGCCUGUCCCUUUAAAACGCCGGACAUUCUCUAAGUCAGAGACCAUAGCCUAAGAGACCAAACCCUGUUCCCUUCCAGAGCUGACAGGACCCUUUUGUGGGGAUGAAAACUCUACAGGAGAAAAGCAAAUCCAAGAUAAAGGAAACCUAACAGUGCCUUGCCCCUGAAGACGCUGCCCGUGGAAAUGGCAGAGUGGUGUCUUCCGAGUUCCUAAAUUAUGCUCAGAUUCCAGAGUCUCAGAGAACUUGCUCUCUCCUCCCUUGCUGUAGCCACUGUUUCUCCACUUAACAGAUCCAAAGAGUUCAACAGAAAGAGCCCUAAAGACAAGGCCAAUCAACCACUGGAAGCGUCCCCAAUGGUUCCAAAGAGCCUCCAAAGAGCAGGAAAGCAAGGCCAAGGUGCACCGAGACAGAAGAAACUUCCCAAGGGUUCGACUUUCUCCAGAAUUCAAAGCAAAAUCCUGUUCUUGAUUUUGCAGGCUUCACCAAAUAGAGGUAAAAAGACAGGAAAUGUCACCGGAGAGAAGUGACUCUAGCUGCUGGUGGCAACUGUCUUUCCUAUCCAUCCGCCGUCAAAUGCUUCAGGCAACAGAUGUCCUCAAACUGUGCCUUUGUGUCCCUUCACAGUCACUAUAUUGUCACCAGACCUAGCUAUGGAUUAUAGCCUGUGCCCCAAUGAGCCAGAUUGUACUGCCCAUCCUCAGUAAGCUAAGUCGAGGAGUCAAAUUAUUAGUGAAAAGCAGCAACAGGAGAUAUAUUCAAUAUGGCCACAUUGAGAAGAGGGAAGAAGAAACUCAGUAACACUGCCGAUGUCAUCUUCAGGGAUUCUGACGUAAGGAGGUUUAGAGAGAUAGCAAGAGACAUGUAUAAUUAGUCCAUCAAGGUGUGGCCCCUGCCCACCAGGGUCUCAGCUCCAAGUCUGACCUUCAAGAACAUCUGACAGCUUGGGAAUCUUUGUCCAGAGCAUAAAUUCCUCCUCUGGCUUCCCCCAGGGCUUCAGCCAUUUCCUUCCUGCCCAGGAGAUCUCUGGAGAGAUUCUUAUUCCUUCAGGUUCACUGUUCCAAUAGCCUGAUAGCCAAAGAAGGGGGAACACAGUUGUCUCUUUAGGAUAUAGUCAUUCUUGCCAGGCAGACUAGUUACAAAAUCACUACCCCCUCACUCACCGUUUGCUCAUGGAAAAUCACAGUGCAACUUGAUUAGAGGCUUACCAGUUCAGCUCAGUGGGAGCUUUUCCUGGCUUCCUUCUCCUCCUUCUCUAAGUCCCCCCCACUGCACCAUAUUUACUAGGUGUCUGUUAAUUCUACCGAUCUAUUUCUUCCCACUCAUCCCCUGGGUAUUUGGAUGGUUCGUUUAAUUAAAUAAUGACCUAUAAUGGGUUAAUAAUGGGCAGUUAGAGAGCUAGGGUAUGGCCCUUUGAAGGUUCCCUCCCAGAGUGAUGAAAUCACUCCCUUUCUCUCUAUUUAGUUCUCUAAUGCUGACAGAGGAAUCAAGGGCUCCACGCAUGCUAGGCAAGCACUCUAGCACUGUGCCAAGUCCUGAGCCCGCAUUCCUUCUGGGUGCCUCAUCUUACAAAAGAGUAUGGAUAAUGGAUAAUCUACAUAUGUCAGCAUACAGGUCCACAGCACUGAGUUUAUUUUUUAGCAAGGAGUCUGCACAGGCAAGGAGACAAUAAUCUCAGGUAAAUGCUGAACACCCCACAUCUACUUCUGGCCUCAGCACAUGUGCGUGGGUAUGUGGGUGAGUGAACACACACACACACACACACACACACACACUAUCCCCGAAUUGGAGAUUGGAGAGCAGAGACAGGCUAAACCUGGGGGCUUGCUGGCCUGUCAGCUUAGCCAAAUCAGGAAGCUCUAGGUUCAGCCUCAAGAAAGGAAGUGAAGAAUCAAUUGAAAAAGACAUCUAGAUCAGCCUCUGGCCUCCAGAUGGACCGUCAUGGGGCAAGCUUACUCACAUAUAUACAUACAUACAUGCACAUACACUGCAUAUGCAAAAGAAAUUUUGAAUAGAGUAAGCGUUAUAAAAUAUUUUUUAAAUAUUAAAUAUUUACUUUUUAAAAUAUUCGUUAUAAAAAUGGAAGAAACUAAAGUUGGAAGAAAAUUGAAAAGAAUUUCACCCUAUGGUGUCAUACUUCCGUCACUUACACAGACAGUCCUUUUCUCAGAAAUGUGUGAGGCCCAGAACCCUGCCUCUUAGCUUCAGGCUACAGCUGAAGGGGAGGAGAGUGAUGGUACGGGAAGACCCUGACUGGUCUGGGAACCUUUACUUCCUCCUCUGACAGGGCGCCCUUCUGACUCUACUGAACCUGUGAUUUAGAUGUGGCCUAGUUUCUGUGACCCAUGUAGGAAACGGAUAAACGAUUAAAGCUUUUGCCUGC
RNAcentral lists this long non-coding RNA (3354 nucleotides) under Mus musculus (house mouse). RNAcentral's name for it is "RIKEN cDNA A930011G23 gene (A930011G23Rik)". Lineage: Eukaryota; Metazoa; Chordata; Mammalia; Rodentia; Muridae. The record is from RNAcentral.